RNAcentral lists this unclassified non-coding RNA (201 nucleotides) under Hevea brasiliensis (rubber tree). Lineage: Eukaryota; Viridiplantae; Streptophyta; Magnoliopsida; Malpighiales; Euphorbiaceae. The record is from RNAcentral.
AAAGAAUCUGCUGGUGCAUUGUAUCAUCAACAAUUAUCUCGGCAGUUGGCAGAUUUUGCGAAAAUUCCACUGGAGAGAGCUGGAGGAAUGAUUAAUCUUAUUGACAUCUAUUGCCUUUUCAACCGGGCUCGUGGAACAGAAUUGAUCUCACCUGACGAUUUGCUGCGUGCGUGUUCUCUCUGGGAGAAGUUUGACGUACCA